RNAcentral lists this ribosomal RNA (396 nucleotides) under uncultured microorganism. RNAcentral describes it as "bacterial SSU rRNA". It matches the Rfam family "Bacterial small subunit ribosomal RNA", at positions 12 to 407 of the family's 1533-position model. The record is from RNAcentral.
GUAGUUUGUGGCUCAGAUUGAACGCUGGCGGCACGCUUAACACAUGCAAGUCGGACGGCAGCACGGGUGCUUGCACCUGGUGGCGAGUGGCGGACGGGUGAGUAAUGCUUAGGGAUCUGGCGCGAAGCGGGGGGACACACGGGGGAAACUCGUGCUAAUACCGCAUAAGCUCUGAGGAGUAAAGAUGGCCUCUAUUUAUAAGCUAUCGCUUUGCGAUGAACCUAAGUCGGAUUAGCUAGUUGGUGGGUAAAGGCCUACCAAGGCGACGAUCCGUAGCUGGUCUGAGAGGACGAUCAGCCACACUGGGACUGAGACACGGCCCAGACUCCUACGGGAGGCAGCAGUGGGAAUAUUGGACAAUGGGGGCAACCCUGAUCCAGCGAUGCCGCGUGUGUG